AUUGAACGCUGGCGGCAGGCCUAACACAUGCAAGUCGAACGAGUGGCGGACGGGUGAGUCAUGUCUGGGACACUGCCUGAUGGAGGGGGAUAACUACUGGAAACGGUAGCUAAUACCGCAUACCAUCGGAUGUGCCCAGAUGGGAUUAGCUAGUAGGUGGGGUAAAGGCUCACCUAGGCGACGAUCCCUAGCUGGUCUGAGAGGUUGACCGGCCACACUGGAACUGAGACACGGUCCAGACUCCUACGGGAGGCAGCAGUAGGGAAUAUUGCACAAUGGGCGCAAGCCUGAUGCAGCCACGCCGCGUGUAUGAUGAAGGCCUUCGGUUUGUAAAGUACUUUUAGCAGGGAGGCGUUACCCGCAGAGGAAGCCCCGGCUAACUCCGUGCCAGCAGCCGCGGUAAUAC
Molecule: ribosomal RNA, 406 nt
Filed under: uncultured bacterium
Lineage: Bacteria
Description: partial 16S ribosomal RNA
Rfam family: Bacterial small subunit ribosomal RNA
Source: RNAcentral